UACACUCAGGGAUAGCCUUUCGAAAGAAAGAUUAAUACCUGAUGGUAUGAUGAGAUUGCAUGAUAGCAUCAUUAAAGAUUUAUCGGUGUACGAUGGGGAUGCGUUCCAUUAGGUAGUAGGCGGGGUAACGGCCCACCUAGCCAACGAUGGAUAGGGGUUCUGAGAGGAAGGUCCCCCACAUUGGAACUGAGACACGGUCCAAACUCCUACGGGAGGCAGCAGUGAGGAAUAUUGGUCAAUGGACGAGAGUCUGAACCAGCCAAGUAGCGUGAAGGAUGAAGGUCCUACGGAUUGUAAACUUCUUUUAUAAGGGAAUAAACCCUCCCACGUGUGGGAGCUUGUAUGUACCUUAUGAAUAAGCAUCGGCUAACUCCGUGCCAGCAGCCGCGGUAAUACGGAGGAUGCGAGCGUUAUCCGGAUUUAUUGGGUUUAAAGGGAGCGCAGACGGGUCGUUAAGUCAGCUGUGAAAGUUUGGGGCUCAACCUUAAAAUUGCAGUUGAUACUGGCGUCCUUGAGUGCGGUUGAGGUGUGCGGAAUUCGUGGUGUAGCGGUGAAAUGCUUAGAUAUCACGAAGAACUCCGAUUGCGAAGGCAGCACACUAAUCCGUAACUGACGUUCAUGCUCGAAAGUGUGGGUAUCAAACAGGAUUAGAUACCCUGGUAGUCC
RNAcentral lists this ribosomal RNA (666 nucleotides) under uncultured bacterium. Its description in RNAcentral is "bacterial SSU rRNA". It matches the Rfam family "Bacterial small subunit ribosomal RNA", at positions 132 to 796 of the family's 1533-position model. The record is from RNAcentral.